This 191-nucleotide long non-coding RNA is filed under the name Mustela putorius furo (domestic ferret). Its description in RNAcentral is "lncRNA (ENSMPUG00000026410.1)". The record is from RNAcentral. Lineage: Eukaryota; Metazoa; Chordata; Mammalia; Carnivora; Mustelidae.
CAAUUUCACCAAAACCAUGCUGUUCUCAACAUCAAGUGGUUAUGGGAGUAAUUCGAUAAUAUCGCCUUUUCUGCCUCACAAGCAACUAACUGCCAUUCUUUCUUCCAGAUCAAGCUCCGUUUUCUCUGGGAAGCCUUCUGAGGUCAUCUGAAAUUCUUCAUUGGAGCUCCCAUAGCAGCUGUGUUUCCCAG